Molecule: transfer RNA, 86 nt
Filed under: Planctomycetaceae bacterium
Lineage: Bacteria; Pseudomonadati; Planctomycetota; Planctomycetia; Planctomycetales; Planctomycetaceae
Description: tRNA-Leu
Rfam family: tRNA
About the family: Transfer RNA (tRNA) molecules are approximately 80 nucleotides in length. Their secondary structure includes four short double-helical elements and three loops (D, anti-codon, and T loops). Further hydrogen bonds mediate the characteristic L-shaped molecular structure. tRNAs have two regions of fundamental functional importance: the anti-codon, which is responsible for specific mRNA codon recognition, and the 3' end, to which the tRNAs corresponding amino acid is attached (by aminoacyl-tRNA synthetases). tRNAs cope with the degeneracy of the genetic code in two manners: having more than one tRNA (with a specific anti-codon) for a particular amino acid; and 'wobble' base-pairing, i.e. permitting non-standard base-pairing at the 3rd anti-codon position.
Source: RNAcentral
GGCUGAGUGGCGGAAUAGGCAGACGCACGGGACUUAAAAUCCCGAGGGGUGAAUACCCCGUACCGGUUCGAGUCCGGUCUCAGCUA